This 253-nucleotide ribosomal RNA is filed under the name uncultured bacterium. RNAcentral's name for it is "partial 16S ribosomal RNA". It matches the Rfam family "Bacterial small subunit ribosomal RNA", at positions 524 to 776 of the family's 1533-position model. The record is from RNAcentral.
UACGGAGGGUCCAAGCGUUAUCCGGAUUUAUUGGGUUUAAAGGGUACGUAGGCGGAGCUUUAAGUCAGUAGUGAAAGCCCAUUGCUUAACAAUGGAACUGCUAUUGAUACUGGAGUUCUUGAAUAUAGUUGAAGUAGGCGGAAUACGGCAUGUAGCGGUGAAAUGCAUAGAUAUGCCGUGGAACACCAAUCGCGAAGGCAGCUUACUAAGCUAUUAUUGACGCUGAUGUACGAAAGCGUGGGGAGCGAACAGG